UCUGCCACCGAAUACAUUAGCAUGGGAUAAUGGAAUAGGACCCUGUCCUCCUAUUUUCAGUUGGUUUUGGCAGCGCGAGGACUAGGGUAAUGAUUAAUAGGGAUAGUUGGGGGCAUUAAUAUUUAAUUGUCAGAGGUGAAAUUCUUGGAUUUAUGAAAGAUUAACUUCUGCGAAAGCAUCUGCCAAGGAUGUUUUCAUUAAUCAAGAACGAAAGUUAGGGGAUCGAAGACGAUCAGAUACCGUCGUAGUCUUAACCAUAAACGAUGCCGACCAGCGAUUAGGAGACGUUGAAUACAAAACACCACCAUCGGCGCGGUCGUCCUUGGCGCGUUCGUGUUCACGCACGAGCG
RNAcentral lists this ribosomal RNA (350 nucleotides) under Acanthamoeba sp. Its description in RNAcentral is "SSU rRNA". It matches the Rfam family "Eukaryotic small subunit ribosomal RNA", at positions 788 to 1100 of the family's 1831-position model. Lineage: Eukaryota; Discosea; Longamoebia; Acanthamoebidae. RNAcentral also lists the same sequence under 2 other names. The record is from RNAcentral.